RNAcentral lists this ribosomal RNA (924 nucleotides) under uncultured Bacteroidota bacterium. RNAcentral's name for it is "bacterial SSU rRNA". It matches the Rfam family "Bacterial small subunit ribosomal RNA", at positions 1 to 917 of the family's 1533-position model. Lineage: Bacteria; Pseudomonadati; Bacteroidota. The record is from RNAcentral.
UGGAUCCAGACUUUGAUUAUGGCUCAGGAUGAACGCUAGCUACAGGCUUAACACAUGCAAGUCGAGGGGCAGCAUGAACUUAGCUUGCUAAGUUUGAUGGCGACCGGCGCACGGGUGAGUAACACGUAUCCAACCUUCCGUUUACUCAGGGAUAGCCUUUCGAAAGAAAGAUUAAUACCUGAUAGUAUGGUGAGAUUGCAUGAUAACACCAUUAAAGAUUCAUUGGUAAACGAUGGGGAUGCGUUCCAUUAGGUAGUAGGCGGGGUAACGGCCCACCUAGCCAACGAUGGAUAGGGGUUCUGAGAGGAAGGUCCCCCACAUUGGAACUGAGACACGGUCCAAACUCCUACGGGAGGCAGCAGUGAGGAAUAUUGGUCAAUGGGCGCGAGCCUGGACCAGCCAAGUAGCGUGAAGGAUGAAGGUCCUACGGAUUGUAAACUUCUUUUAUAAGGGAAUAAAGUCGCCUACGUGUAGGCGUUUGUAUGUACCUUAUGAAUAAGCAUCGGCUAACUCCGUGCCAGCAGCCGCGGUAAUACGGAGGAUGCGAGCGUUAUCCGGAUUUAUUGGGUUUAAAGGGAGCGUAGACGGAGGAUUAAGUCAGUUGUGAAAGUUUGCGGCUCAACCGUAAAAUUGCAGUUGAUACUGGUCCCCUUGAGUGCAGUUGAGGCAGGCGGAAUUCGUGGUGUAGCGGUGAAAUGCUUAGAUAUCACGAAGAACCCCGAUUGCGAAGGCAGCCUGCUAAGCUGUAACUGACGUUGAUGCUCGAAAGUGUGGGUAUCAAACAGGAUUAGAUACCCUGGUAGUCCACACGGUAAACGAUGGAUACUCGCUGUUGGCGAUAUACUGUCAGCGGCCAAGCGAAAGCAUUAAGUAUCCUACCUGGGGAGUACGCCGGCAACGGUGCAACUCAAAGGAAUUGACGGA